GAUGAACGCUGGCGGCGUGCCUAAUACAUGCAAGUCGAGCGAACGGACGAGAAGCUUGCUUCUCUGAUGUUAGCGGCGGACGGGUGAGUAACACGUGGAUAACCUACCUAUAAGACUGGGAUAACUUCGGGAAACCGGAGCUAAUACCGGAUAAUAUUUUGAACCGCAUGGUUCAAAAGUGAAAGACGGUCUUGCUGUCACUUAUAGAUGGAUCCGCGCUGCAUUAGCUAGUUGGUAAGGUAACGGCUUACCAAGGCAACGAUGCAUAGCCGACCUGAGAGGGUGAGCGGCCACACUGGAACUGAGACCCGGUCCAGACUCCUACGGGAGGCAGCAGUAGGGAAUCUUCCGCAGUGGGCGAAAGCCUGACGGAGCAACGCCGCGUGAGUGAUGAAGGUCUUCGGAUCGUAAAACUCUGUUAUUAGGGAAGAACAUAUGUGUAAGUAACUGUGCACAUCUUGACGGUACCUAAUCAGAAAGCCACGGCUAACUACGUG
RNAcentral lists this ribosomal RNA (497 nucleotides) under uncultured bacterium. RNAcentral's name for it is "partial 16S ribosomal RNA". It matches the Rfam family "Bacterial small subunit ribosomal RNA", at positions 28 to 507 of the family's 1533-position model. The record is from RNAcentral.